This 2040-nucleotide long non-coding RNA is filed under the name Homo sapiens (human). Its description in RNAcentral is "HSALNT0384930". Lineage: Eukaryota; Metazoa; Chordata; Mammalia; Primates; Hominidae. The record is from RNAcentral.
GGAGAAUUAGGAAAAAGCCCAUGAAUUAUUCAAUGCUGUCCACCGUAACUCAGGGAAAGGAAGAAAAUCCUUCUGCCUUCCUUGAGCAGCUACAGGAGGCCUUAAGAAAAUAUACUCCCGUCGCCCAAAUCACUCAAGGGUCAAUUGAUCCUAAAAGGUAAGUUUAUUACCCAAUCGGCUGCAGAUAUCAGGAGAAAGCUCCAAAAGCAAGCCCUGGGCCCUGAACAAAAUCUGGAGGCAUUAUUAACCUGGCAACCUCGGUGUUCUAUAAUAGGGACAGGCCCAAAAGGAAAAGUGAGAUCAGAGAAAGGCCACAGCCUUAGUCAUAGCCUUCAGACAAACAAACCUUGGUGGUUCAGAGAGGACAGAAAAUGGGGCAGGUCAAUCACCCGGUAGGGCUUGUUAUCAAUGUGGUUUACAAGGACACUUUAAGAAAGAUUGUCCAAUGAGAAAUAAGCCGCCCCCUCAUCCAUGUCCACUAUGCUGGGGCAAUCACUGGAAGGUGCACUGCCCCAGAAGACAAAGGUUCUCUGGGUCAGAAGCCCCCAACCGGAUGAUCCAACAACAGGAUUGAGGGUGCCCGGGGCAAGCGCCAGCUCAUGUCAUCAUACUCACUGAGCCCCAGAAUGGAGGCCAUCAAGCUAUAGAUGGUCUUACAAAUGGAACCCCAAAUGAGCUCAACUAACAACUUCUACCGAGGACCCCUGGACCAACCCGCUGGCCCUUCCACUGGCCUAAAGAGUUCCCCUCUGGAGGACACUACAACUGCAGGGCCCCUUCUUCGCCCCUAUCCAGCAGGAAGUAGCUAGAGUGGUCAUCAGCCAAAUUCCCAACAGCAGUUGGGGGUAUCCUGUUUAGACGGGGGAUUGAGAGGUGACAACGUGCUAGCAGCCCUCGCUCGCUCUCGGCGCCCCCUCGGCCACGGCGUCGGCUCUGGCUGUGCUCGAGGAGCCCUUCAGCCCACGGCUGCACUGUAGGGGCCUCCUCUCUGGGGCUGGCCGAGGCCAGAGCCGGCUCCCUCUGCUCACAGGGAGGUGUGAAGGGAGAGGUGCAGGCGGGAGCCAGCGUGGGUUCCGGGUGGGCGCAGGCUCGGCAGGCCCCGCACUUGGCGCCACCAGCCAGCGCCUGCUGGGCUUGAUCGGGGGACAAGCUCCCACUGGGCUGUCGGAGUGCCCAGGCUAGGUGCCGCAAAGUCCCGCAGCCAGUGCCAUUGAGAGGUGAAGCCAGCUGGGCUUCUGGGUCGGGUGGGGACCUGGAGAACUUUUCUGUCUAGCUAAAGGUUUGUAAAUGUACCAAUCAGCACUCUGUGUCUACCUAAAAGUUUGUAAACACACCAAUCAGCACUCUGUGUCUAGCUAAUGGUUUGUAAACGCACCAGUCAGCGUUCUGUGUCUAGCUAAUCAGGUAGGGGACUUGGAGAACUUUUGUGUCUUGCUAAGGGAUUGUAAACGCACCAAUCAGCACUCUGUGUCUAACUAAAGGUGUAAACGCACCAAUCAGCGCUCUGUCAAAACGGACCAAUCAGCUCUCUGUAAAAUGGACCAAUCAGCUCUCUGUAAAAUGGACCAAUCAGCAGGCUGUGGGUGGGGCCAGAUAAGGGAAUAAAAGCAGGCCACCCAAGCCAGCAGCACCAACCUGCUGGGUCCCCAUCCAUGCUGAGGAAGCUUUGUUCUUUCGUUCUUUGCAAUAAAUCUUACUGCUGCUCACGCUUUGGGUCCGUGCCACCUUUAAGAGCUGUAACACUCACCGCAAAGGUCUGCAGCUUCACUCCUGAGGCCAGCAAGACCAGGAACCCACCAGAAGGAACUAACACCUCCAGACAGGCCGCCUUUAUGAACUGUAACACUCACCGCAAAGGUUUGUAGCUUCAUUCCUGAAGUCAGAGAGACCAAGAACCCACCAAUUCCAGACACAGAACAAUAGAAAUUUAUGAGUUCUGGUGAGGACCCUCUUUCUAGGUACAGGCUGCUGACCUCUUGUUGUAUCCUUGCAUGGCAGAAGGUAGAGAGAAGCAAGGUCUCUCGGAACUCUUAAAAGGGC